UGUAGUUUGGUGUAAAUGCACAUAAAAUUUUGAUUUUUAAGGUUAAGUUUAAUAUCUUUUUCUGCAA
This 67-nucleotide transfer RNA is filed under the name Macropsis notata. Its description in RNAcentral is "tRNA-Gln". Lineage: Eukaryota; Metazoa; Arthropoda; Insecta; Hemiptera; Cicadellidae. The record is from RNAcentral.